AGUGAACGCCGGCGGUAGGCCUAACACAUGCAAGUCGAACGGCAGCACAGUAAGAGCUUGCUCUUACGGGUGGCGAGUGGCGGACGGGUGAGGAAUACAUCGGAAUCUACUUUUUCGUGGGGGAUAACGUAGGGAAACUUACGCUAAUACCGCAUACGACCUACGGGUGAAAGCAGGGGAUCUUCGGACCUUGCGCGAUUGAAUGAGCCGAUGUCGGAUUAGCUAGUUGGCGGGGUAAAGGCCCACCAAGGCGACGAUCCGUAGCUGGUCUGAGAGGAUGAUCAGCCACACUGGAACUGAGACACGGUCCAGACUCCUACGGGAGGCAGCAGUGGGGAAUAUUGGACAAUGGGCGCAAGCCUGAUCCAGCCAUACCGCGUGGGUGAAGAAGGCCUUCGGGUUGUAAAGCCCUUUUAUUGGGAAAGAAAAGCAGCAGGUUAAUACCCCGCUGUUCUGACGGUACCCAAAGAAUAAGCACCGGCUAACUUCGUG
RNAcentral lists this ribosomal RNA (492 nucleotides) under uncultured bacterium. Its description in RNAcentral is "partial 16S ribosomal RNA". It matches the Rfam family "Bacterial small subunit ribosomal RNA", at positions 29 to 507 of the family's 1533-position model. The record is from RNAcentral.